RNAcentral lists this ribosomal RNA (363 nucleotides) under Triticum aestivum (bread wheat). RNAcentral's name for it is "partial small subunit ribosomal RNA". The record is from RNAcentral. Lineage: Eukaryota; Viridiplantae; Streptophyta; Magnoliopsida; Poales; Poaceae.
AUGCACUCCAGUUACAACAAAAAGAUGCCUAGAUCAAAAUCUUCACUAUUGUUCUCCGUUGACAGCGAGCAGUGCAGGUUGCUCUUCAUUGCAGGUCGGUUGGAUCAUUGGUGCAGUACCCAAAUCGCUAGUGUUUUCGAUGCUACUCGCACACAUCACCGGUGGUUCACCGGAGCACCCCCUCGCAGCUCUCUCCUUCCCCAACAUGUAGUUCACCGGCGACGACCUUUAGUUUGUUUUGGUUGCUGUCGAUGCCAUCCCCACUGUAGUACAGUGUGCAUCAUGAUGGUUUUGUGUGUAUGUGUCUUUUGCAUGGUAGCCGACUGGGGGCCUACGUUCCUGUACAAUGUAAAAAUAGCAUGA